This 330-nucleotide unclassified non-coding RNA is filed under the name soil metagenome. Its description in RNAcentral is "partial contains 5.8S ribosomal RNA, internal transcribed spacer 2, and large subunit ribosomal RNA". The stretch from base 1 to 119 matches the Rfam family "5.8S ribosomal RNA", at positions 35 to 154 of the family's 154-position model. The record is from RNAcentral.
GAUGAAGAACGCAGUGAAAUGCGAUAAGUAAUGUGAAUUGCAGAAUUCAGUGAAUCAUCGAAUCUUUGAACGCACAUUGCGCCCCCGGUAUUCCGGGGGGCAUGCCUGUUCGAGCGUCAUUUCACCACUCAAGCCUCGCUUGGUAUUGGGCAACGCGGUCCGCCGCGUGCCUCAAAUCGACCGGCUGGGUCUUCUGUCCCCUAAGCGUUGUGGAAACUAUUCGCUAAAGGGUGUUCGGGAGGCUACGCCGUAAAACAACCCCAUUUCUAAGGUUGACCUCGGAUCAGGUAGGGAUACCCGCUGAACUUAAGCAUAUCAAUAAGCGGAGGA